CCUUCCUACAAAGGCAUGUCUUUGGACAUGUAAGAAUUGGAGGGGAAAAAAUGUAGAUUUAUGAGUUCCAUCCCUAGUACAAAAAAAAAAAUAAAAGGAUGGGGAUUGGAGAUAUCUGGGGCCAGCUGCUCCCUGCAGGUACAAGAUCAACUAUCUCACAUUU
This is a non-coding RNA of Fukomys damarensis (Damara mole-rat), 163 nucleotides long. NCBI's taxonomy places the organism in Eukaryota, Metazoa, Chordata, Mammalia, Rodentia, Bathyergidae. The record is from Rfam.